GGGAGAGGAGAGUUCUAAUGAGUCUAAACUGGCUUUGUUAUCCAAAUCUCGAAAGUUAUGCUCACUCAUUUCAAAGAGAUAUUGCUUUGGAGACCUGAAGGAAGUCAGUCUAUCUCAGCCCAGCACGCUAAUUGGCUGCCCUGCUGAACCCCUUCUGGCUUUUUAAAAGAAUGGCCACCUUCACCCAAGUAACCUUCAGCCUACACUCUUUCCUGGAGCUCCUCGUACAUCACCAAAGACCUCCAUCCUCUUCUUGUCUACAUUUCAUUUGGUUGGGAGGAACAAUUGCAUACCUCUGAAGUGCUUGAAAGAGGCUGUGAAUGAAGAUGGAUGAAAGGAAUGUUGUCAUUUUACACCUCUUCCUCUGUUUUGACUGCAGAAAUAAAAGUUUAAUUUCUGCAUCUGAAUGUAUUUAAUG
Mastomys coucha (southern multimammate mouse) is the source of this 418-nucleotide long non-coding RNA. RefSeq lists it as uncharacterized. The transcript has 2 exons. The record is from RefSeq and is a predicted model, not a curated record. NCBI's taxonomy places the organism in Eukaryota, Metazoa, Chordata, Mammalia, Rodentia, Muridae.